Long non-coding RNA from Girardinichthys multiradiatus, 3807 nucleotides. RefSeq lists it as uncharacterized. The record is from RefSeq and is a predicted model, not a curated record. The transcript is spliced from 3 exons. Lineage: Eukaryota; Metazoa; Chordata; Actinopteri; Cyprinodontiformes; Goodeidae.
UCUAAGACUAUAUAAAAGAAGAAUUGAACAACACUGAGGGGUUCUAAUACUUUUGUCAGUUCCUGUAGAGUAUCAAAGAGCAAAUCAAGCAAAGCAUUAAAAAUUUCCAUUUCAAUCCUCAGCUAAAAGCACUCAAGAAUGGUUGAGAAAAAAAACAAAAAACUGCCUGUGACCCUUCAUGAGCCCAGAUCUUAGUCUUACUGAACAUAUGAGGGAAUAUUUGAAAGUUGCAGUGUGAAGAUGCCACCCUUCAAACCUCAGGAAGAGGGGUCCAAGCUACCUAUUGGCAAACAGACAUCACAUUUUGAUGCCCAGAGAACAUUUGUUGGCAGUGAUUCCUGCGAAGGAUCUUGCUACAGUUUAUAAAUUACAAUAAUAUCCAGCUCAGCAAAGCACAGACAGAUUUUUGUUAAAUAUGGAAUAAACAAACAACUGACAAAUGGCUAGAAAAUCCUGUCCUUAAGACUUGGAAUUUUCUCUGUCCACCAGAUGUCCACUGUUACAUCUAGUGUAAAACCAACAAGGCAUUUUAUCAAACGAACAUCAUACAGACAAUCAUGCAUGGUUUGACUCAGAUCCUGGACAACUUGGACCCAUGCAUUCAACCCUCAACCAGAAAAUCCAUCUAUCAUUUUGUGACCUUAGAGCACACUUGGGUAAUGCAGCAGAAUAAUGAUCCAAGGCACCAACAAAUCUACCCCUGAAUGGCUCAAACAAUAAAUGACGGUUUCAUGUGGCCUAGUCAAAGCCCAGACUUAAAUCCAACUGAGAUGUUGUGGCAUGACAAUAAACAGGUAAUUCCUGAUUAACACUGUGGCAAUGUCCCUAAAUUAAAACAAUUUUGCAAAGAGGAAUGGAACCAAAAUUCCUUCACAGUGAUUUAGACUCCCACUGCCGCAACUGCCACUGCUUGAUGGCAGUUGUUGCCACCAAAGGUGGCACAACCAAUUAUUACGUUUAGGGAGAAAUUGCUUUUUCAUGUAGGGCCAGAAUGUUUGGGACAGCAUUUUCCCUUAAUAAAUUAAAUUAAAAAAACCAGUAUAAAUCUGGGGGUUAAAUACUUUCAAAGCUCCGCCAAAGGAAAAGAAAAAAGGUGGAAAAAAUGAUAAGAUGUUUUUUUCUCCAAGCUGCAGCAUUCAGCCAGUGUCAAACAAAUCAAAAAGCACAGAUCAGCUGCAAGUCAAGUCCAACUGUUGCUGGGGGCUGGCUGACAUGGAGCACUGAUUUGGGUGGAGUGGCAACUAAACGUCCAGCUCAGGGAGACGGGAGGUGGAAGAGGGACUGCAGAAAGGCAAUACAGGAGAUAGAAAGGAUCAGACUGGAGUGUUGGGUGAGGGACUGAGUGAUGUUUGGCCAAGGCCUGAGGAAAUAUCAUAUGCGGCUUCUCCAUGCGAGAAGGUAACCCCGGGCUGAGGCAGCCUCCUAGCCCACAGGCCUCAGGAAAUGCUGAUGGAUACACAUACAUAAGCCUGCACAGGCACACACACAUCCACAAUGACACACAGACACUGAAAGAUGAAGACAAGCAUGAAAAGCAAUUUCUCAGCCUAAGUCCCUUUUGCCAACACACACACACACACACACACACACACACACACUCAUUGAUUAAUCCAUACUGGCAAGAACAAACACAGUAGUGGAGUGUCCAUUUUAUUAGCUGAGUGUUGAAACAGGAGGGCUCCAUUCAAACUAAGCUCAACAUGUCACAAUUGGUUCAAUAUCAUAGUGUUCUGCACAGGUAGAUCUAAAACAAGUAUUGAUGAUUUCUAUAAUUAUCUUCAGAUAACACUAAGCAACUGACAGAGAUAAAUUCAUUCAAACUCCAUACUGUAUCAUUCAUUAUAAACCCUCAAAAUCUAGUGCUCUGUAAAAAUAUUCAAUCCCCUUGAACUUUUACAAACAGACUAGUAUUUUUUUAUGAUCUUAUGUGACCAACACAAAGUAGUGCCUAAUUGUGAUGCAGAAGAAAAAUAUUCAUUCUGUUUUUGCUCAGUCAGAUUGGAUGGAGAGCAUCUUUAGACAUCAGUUAUCAGGUCUUGUAAAAGAUUCUCUGCUGGAUUAAGUAUGAACUUUGACUGGACCAUUCUACUACAGGAAUAGACUUUGAUCUAAACCAUUCUCCUCUUACUAGAGUGUAUGGUUACUGCUGUUGUCCUGCUGGAAGGUGAAUCUCCAACUCAGGCUCAAAUCUUUUGCAGCCUCUAGCAGGUUUUCUACCAGAACCUGCUAGAACAAUUUCCCUGUAUCUACUGACAAAAGCAUCCCCACAGAAUGAUGCUGCCUCUUCUAUGUUUCACCAUGUGGAUGAUGUGCUUAGGGUGAUGUGUGGUGUUAGUUCCUCCCAGGUAGCAUUUGCAUGGCCACCAAAAGGUUUACACUUUAAAAUAGAGUUUUCUUUCCAAGGUUGGCUUUCUUCUUGUCACUCUACCAAAAAGACCAGAUUUGAGAAGAGCUUGGCUAUUAGUUGACAUUUUAACAGUUUCUAUCACCUGAGUUGUGGAUCUCUGCAGCUUCUCUAGAGUUACCAGAGGUUUGCAGUUGUGCCACGCAGUGACUGCAGAACAACGCUCUGUCAGAUGUUUAGAGCUUGAAAGAUUGUUUUAAAAUCUAACUGUCGUGGUUGGCACACGGCUUGGUAUUGUGUGUGUGUGUGUGUAUGUGUUUUGUUUUUUGUAGGUGCUGGAGUGCUGGUGGAGGUGACAGGUGUUCCCUAUCUUCGCUGAUGAGCUUCGGUGUAUUUAAGCAGCAGGCAGCCAGCAUCUCACCGCUCGAGUGUUAGGCUUCAUUGAUCGUGACUACCUGGAUAUUACCCAGGCUGGAUCGUUGUACUGCUUUGUUAAGCUCACUUUGUCUCGGACCUUUGGAGUACCUGAGCUUCACAAAUGCCACGUUGUUAUCGUUCUACUGGACUAACUUUGCUGGCUGCCGCCAAGUGCCUCCUGCCUCACACCGAUUCCACAGAACCUGUCCACCCUCCACCGCUCACAAGCGACCCAGCUCUGGCACCAUACUACCAUCCGCUGUUGCACACUCCUGGUUUGGAGCCUUCGUACUCACCGCACAGUGUACUCAUUCCGGUCUGUCUGAAUCCCUCUCCUGGCGGAGAACUCACCCAGCCUACUGGCCCGACGCCCGUGACUGACGGCUCGGUUCUCAAUAAUUCAUCCAGCACUGGGUGUCUGAAGGUCAGGAGAUCAUCGCCUUGGGCUCAAGAGCUGAGGAGAGCUGGGACUGUCAUCAAAUAUUUAUUGACCUGCUGUACUCCCAAUACACUCUCAAAAUACACAAUCUCCCUCACUAAACACAGCACAGACUCACACCCAGCAGCUUCAGCGGGAUAGCCGGGUGGCUUGAUGACGUGUGAAGAUUGCUGGCAAGGGAGGUGGGAGGCAAUGGAGUUUAUGUGGAUAUUUUUGUGUUGUUUUACCUCAGGAGCAUAUGGAUUAUGAGUUAGUGAGUGGGUAACUCAAUGUACAAACUAACAGAAAACUGUGGCAAAGAAAAUAAACAUUACAGGAGCAACUUAAAGAGUGAAACUGCAAAUAUUGAAAGAAAACUCUGUCUUUAAACAUGUUUAAUAAUACUGGUUGCAAUUUAAAUUUCUAUUUUCUAUUUAACACCCAAGUUGGCCAUUUAGGGUUGAAAAGUACUAAUGUACAACUACUACUAUAAAUAUCUACUGCUACUUCUAUUACUACUAGUACCACUACCAAAGCUUCUACUACUAUUACUGCCACUGCACCAUAAGUCAGUAUUUAUUUAUGUUUACAUAUAUGUAUUUAUAUUUUAUACAGUUUACUGUAGACA